Molecule: ribosomal RNA, 252 nt
Filed under: uncultured bacterium
Lineage: Bacteria
Description: partial 16S ribosomal RNA
Rfam family: Bacterial small subunit ribosomal RNA
Source: RNAcentral
UACGUAGGUGGCAAGCGUUGUCCGGAAUUAUUGGGCGUAAAGCGCGCGCAGGCGGUCGCGUAAGUCUGAUGUGAAAGCCCGGGGCUCAACCCCGGUGUGCAUUGGAAACUGCGUGACUUGAGUGCAGGAGAGGAAAGCGGAAUUCCACGUGGAGCGGUGAAAUGCGUAGAGAUGUGGAGGAACACCAGUGGCGAAGGCGGCUUUCUGGCCUGUAACUGACGCUGAGGCGCGAAAGCGUGGGGAGCAAACAGG